AUGGUGUGGCUGCAGUACACGGCGACCCGGCGGCAGCGCGCCGCCACGGCCGGCCUCUUCCUCACCGGGGCCGUCCUCAUCGCCGUCGCCGCCCGCCUCUCCUACGCCAACAUCGAGCCCUCGCGCGCCAAGGCCGCCCGGCGCCGCGAGGUCUUGGAGGCCUUCAUCGCCCGCAAGCGCGCAGCUGCGGCCGGAGCCGGAGGAGCAGACUCCCACCCCAGCCCGGAUCCCGCCAAGCCCUAG
This 243-nucleotide ribosomal RNA is filed under the name Triticum aestivum (bread wheat). Its description in RNAcentral is "partial small subunit ribosomal RNA". The record is from RNAcentral. Lineage: Eukaryota; Viridiplantae; Streptophyta; Magnoliopsida; Poales; Poaceae.